GGAGAGGUCGCAUAGUGGCCUAGUGCGCCUGCUUGGAGAGCAGGUAUCCCCGCAAGGGGAUCGAGGGUUCGAAUCCCUCCCUCUCCGCCA
Molecule: transfer RNA, 90 nt
Filed under: Candidatus Peregrinibacteria bacterium
Lineage: Bacteria; Candidatus Peregrinibacteriota
Description: tRNA-Ser
Rfam family: tRNA
About the family: Transfer RNA (tRNA) molecules are approximately 80 nucleotides in length. Their secondary structure includes four short double-helical elements and three loops (D, anti-codon, and T loops).
Source: RNAcentral